This is a long non-coding RNA of Plodia interpunctella (Indianmeal moth), 676 nucleotides long. RefSeq lists it as uncharacterized. NCBI's taxonomy places the organism in Eukaryota, Metazoa, Arthropoda, Insecta, Lepidoptera, Pyralidae. The transcript is spliced from 3 exons. The record is from RefSeq and is a predicted model, not a curated record.
UACGAGGUUCCUAGGUACCUAAGUGACAGGACAAGACGGCGGAAUGAAAGAUAAAUAACGCGUUUCAUUUGUUGGUUUUCUAUUUUAUUUUCAACCACUUUGUGGUUUGAUGAAAUAGCUCAGAGCGAAAUUUGUUUAUUAUGAAGACCUACCCACAGCAAUUCGAAAUACUGAAUAUACUAUAUAUGGAAAAAUGAGAGUAACAAUCUUGAACCAUCCAACCCACUACAUGACAGCCAACCACUUCCAUCAAAUAGUCCACCUCAAAUCGACGAUGAAGAUAGUGAGGUAUAGAAGAAUCAAAUUUGCGUUUUGUCCAUUCUCAUGCGGCGACACAUGUUCCUGAGAGGCAGCCAGCUCAAUCUGGCCAUACAAUUACUAGUAGAUGGAGUAGAAAGCCAAGAUCCGAAGAGACAGCAAUAUGCAAGAACACUAGGCCGAAAAAAUUCUACCCAAGAUUACCACCAACAUUUUGUUGAUAAUGACAUUAAAUGGAGAUAAUUCAGAAAACAACAGCAUAAUGAUAAUAUGGAAUUGAGGCGAGAACAAAAUAGAAUAAGGCAGAUGGAAAUUAUAGCUUCAAAAGCUUUAGAUAUAUUAGACAAGUUAGCUACUAAAUAUUAUACAGAUAAAUCAUAACUUUUAUUGUUAAAUUUUGGUUCAUUUGAAUAUACAA